UACGUAGGGUGCGAGCGUUAAUCGGAAUUACUGGGCGUAAAGCGUGCGCAGGCGGUGAUGUAAGACAGAUGUGAAAUCCCCGGGCUCAACUCCGGAUGUGCAGAGGAUACUGGAGAGCUGGAGACUGGUAGAGGCGAGCGGAAUUCCUGGUGUAGCGGUGGAAUGCGUAGAUAUCAGGAAGAACACCGGUGGCGAAGGCGGCGACCUGGUCCUUUUUACUGACGCUGAGGCGCGAAAGCGUGGGGGAGCAAACAGG
This 256-nucleotide ribosomal RNA is filed under the name uncultured bacterium. Its description in RNAcentral is "partial 16S ribosomal RNA". It matches the Rfam family "Bacterial small subunit ribosomal RNA", at positions 524 to 776 of the family's 1533-position model. The record is from RNAcentral.